GACGAACGCUGGCGGCGUGCUUAACACAUGCAAGUCGAACGGAAAGGCCCUGCUUUUGUGGGGUGCUCGAGUGGCGAACGGGUGAGUAACACGUGAGUAACCUGCCCUUGACUUUGGGAUAACUUCAGGAAACUGGGGCUAAUACCGGAUAGGAGCUCCUGCUGCAUGGUGGGGGUUGGAAAGUUUCGGCGGUUGGGGAUGGACUCGCGGCUUAUCAGCUUGUUGGUGGGGUAGUGGCUUACCAAGGCUUUGACGGGUAGCCGGCCUGAGAGGGUGACCGGCCACAUUGGGACUGAGAUACGGCCCGGACUCCUGCGGGAGGCAGCAGUGGGGAAUAUUGAACAAUGGGCGGAAGCCUGAUGGAGCAACGCCGCGUGCGUGAUGACGGCCUUCGGGUUGUAAACCGCUUUCGCCUGUGACGAAGCGUGAGUGACGGUAAUGGGUAAAGAAGCACCGGCUAACUACGUG
This 468-nucleotide ribosomal RNA is filed under the name uncultured bacterium. Its description in RNAcentral is "partial 16S ribosomal RNA". It matches the Rfam family "Bacterial small subunit ribosomal RNA", at positions 28 to 507 of the family's 1533-position model. The record is from RNAcentral.